ACAGUCAUAUCACAUUGAAACACCAGUUUCUAUACAAUCACCAAAGUUAAGCAACUUUGAACCUGGUCAGUACUUAGAUGGGUGACUGCUUGUGAAUACCAAGUGCUGUAAG
Non-coding RNA from Acanthosepion pharaonis, 112 nucleotides. The record is from the annotation of a GenBank genome assembly. Lineage: Eukaryota; Metazoa; Mollusca; Cephalopoda; Sepiida; Sepiidae.